Carya illinoinensis is the source of this 595-nucleotide long non-coding RNA. RefSeq lists it as uncharacterized. The record is from RefSeq and is a predicted model, not a curated record. NCBI's taxonomy places the organism in Eukaryota, Viridiplantae, Streptophyta, Magnoliopsida, Fagales, Juglandaceae. The transcript has 3 exons.
ACGACUCACUCGGUUUUGAUAUCUUAGAUUGGUGGAGAAUUAAUGCCGUUAACUAUCCUGUCCUUGCUGAGGUAGCACGUGAUGUGUUAGCCACCCCCAUUUUCACUGUUGCCUCGGAGUCCGCAUUUAGUAUUGGAGGAUGCAUAUUGGAUCCUUUUAGGAGUUCCUUGUCUCCAGAGACUGUUGAAGCUCUCAUUUGCACUCAAAAUUGGUUAAGGACCAAACCAAUUAACAUUCGGGAUUUGGAAGAAUACAUACAGUCGAUAGACCUUGAAGACGAUCAUCUAGCUUCAUCUUCAACCGAGACUGAUGUGAGUCUCCAUUCCCAUUCAUGCUGAAAAGUUUAUCCUUGGUUAAUCUUCAAUGGAGUAUGGACUUUGUGGGCACAAGGCAUUUCUUUGAAGUUGAUUCCUAUCAUUCCAUGCAUGGACGUGUCAAUGAUGGGUCAAGAGCGCUCAACUUCUACAGAAUUGUUGGUUGGAUGCACCGAAUUAUUGAUCAGUAGGAAUUUGUAAUCUGAUUUAUCUUCUCAUUUUCACUUUGUGUAUGUUUUUGCACGAAUUGGGAUGAUUUUGGGAUGAUUUUGUAAUGAGGA